GGAAUUGUUCGCAAUGGGCGCAAGCCUGACGACGCAACGCCGCGUGGAGGAUGAAGAUCUUCGGGUCGUAAACUCCUUUCGACCGAGAUGAAUGUCUGCCGACCCAAUACGUCGGCAGGGUGACAGUAUCGAGGGAAGAAGCCCCGGCUCACUCCGUGCCAGCAGCCGCGGUAAUACGGGGGGGGCGAGCGUUGUUCGGAAUUACUGAGCGUAAAGGGUUCGUAGGUGGCCUUCUCAGUCGGAUGUGAAAUCCCUCGGCUCAACUGAGGAACUGCAUCUGAUACUGGAAGGCUCGAGUGCAGGAGAGGAACGCGGAAUUCCAGGUGUAGCGGUGAAAUGCGUAGAUAUCUGGAGGAACACCGGUGGCGAAGGCGGCGUUCUGGACUGCAACUGACACUGAGGAACGAAAGCCAGGGGAGCAAAC
Molecule: ribosomal RNA, 424 nt
Filed under: uncultured bacterium
Lineage: Bacteria
Description: bacterial SSU rRNA
Rfam family: Bacterial small subunit ribosomal RNA
Source: RNAcentral